GCCGUGAUAGAUGUGACGCCGCUGAAGUGCAGACUUACCUCUGAAUGAUUCAGGGCCACCGGAGGAUGACGAUGAUGGAAGAAGAUCAGAUCAACCUUUUCUUUUCCAGCUGACAUCCUGCAGCGUAGAAACAACUCAAACAGGAAAUGAGAGAAAAGGACUCCUUGAUUCAAGUUGAGUGGCUUCAACAGACAAAAACUGCGCAAGGUUCUUUGUUAAAGCAGCACCAAUGUGUGAAAAUGAGCAUACACUGAGUCAUAUGUGCUACUUGACGGCUGAAGCCCAGGUGAGAUACCUUCAGACCGGACAGCAACUGCUGGGUGCAACGAGAAACAACUCAAACAGGAAAUGCGAGUCUUGUUUGUGUGAGUAGCUCGAUCUGACAGGACCGCACACGCUUCUGUGUGUGAAAAAAGCGUGAGCGUGUUGUGAGUCACAUGAACUUCAUCGCCGUGAAAUACAAUCAUCAGACGAAGAGCAAAGACCGGCGUGAUCAUCUCGACUACACCAGAGACGUACGACCACUUCAGCGUCGUGCCAUUUUCAAGAAAAAAAAUCCAAACUCAUGGUGUUUUUUUUUUUUUUUCGAAUUGUUUUUCUUUUUGCACAUGGUGUUUUCUCUGACCACGGUAAUUAUUAGGCACUCACGAUGUGUUUAUAAUGCACUUAUAGUGUUUCGAUGCCUUCUGAGCACCACUUCAAACAAAGUGUUAGCCAACAUUUGUGCAAUCAUCA
Acanthopagrus latus (yellowfin seabream) is the source of this 735-nucleotide long non-coding RNA. RefSeq lists it as uncharacterized. The record is from RefSeq and is a predicted model, not a curated record. Lineage: Eukaryota; Metazoa; Chordata; Actinopteri; Spariformes; Sparidae. The transcript has 3 exons.